AUUGAACGCUGGCGGCAUGCUUUACACAUGCAAGUCGAACGGUAACAGGCCGCAAGGUGCUGACGAGUGGCGAACGGGUGAGUAAUGCAUCGGAACGUGCCCAGUCGUGGGGGAUAACUACUCGAAAGAGUAGCUAAUACCGCAUACGAUCUAUGGAUGAAAGCGGGGGACCGUAAGGCCUCGCGCGAUUGGAACGGCCGAUGUCAGAUUAGGUAGUUGGUGGGGUAAAGGCUCACCAAGCCAACGAUCUGUAGCUAGUCUGAGAGGACGACCAGCCACACUGGGACUGAGACACGGCCCAGACUCCUACGGGAGGCAGCAGUGGGGAAUUUUGGACAAUGGGCGCAAGCCUGAUCCAGCAAUGCCGCGUGCAGGAAGAAGGCCUUCGGGUUGUAAACUGCUUUUGUACGGAACGAAACGGCUCUGGUUAAUACCCGGGGCUAAUGACGGUACCGUAAGAAUAAGCACCGGCUAACUACGUG
Molecule: ribosomal RNA, 482 nt
Filed under: uncultured bacterium
Lineage: Bacteria
Description: partial 16S ribosomal RNA
Rfam family: Bacterial small subunit ribosomal RNA
Source: RNAcentral